This 253-nucleotide ribosomal RNA is filed under the name uncultured bacterium. RNAcentral describes it as "partial 16S ribosomal RNA". It matches the Rfam family "Bacterial small subunit ribosomal RNA", at positions 524 to 776 of the family's 1533-position model. The record is from RNAcentral.
UACAGAGGUGGCAAGCGUUGUUCGGAAUUACUGGGCGUAAAGUGCGCGUAGGCGGCCCGUCAAGUCCCGUGUGAAAGCCCCCGGCUCAACCGGGGAACGGCGCGGGAAACUAGCAGGCUUGAGUUCGGGAGAGGGAAGCGGAAUUCCGGGUGUAGCGGUGAAAUGCGCAGAUAUCCGGAUGAACACCGGUGGCGAAGGCGGCUUCCUGGACCGACACUGACGCUGAGGCGCGAAAGCGUGGGGAGCGAACAGG